CCUACGGGUGGCAGCAGUGGGGAAUAUUGCACAAUGGGGGGAACCCUGAUGCAGCAACGCCGCGUGGGUGAAGAAGUACUUCGGUAUGUAAAGCCCUGUCAGCAGGGAAGAAAAUGACGGUACCUGACCAAGAAGCCCCGGCUAACUACGUGCCAGCAGCCGCGGUAAUACGUAGGGGGCAAGCGUUAUCCGGAUUUACUGGAUGUAAAGGGAGCGUAGACGGCAAGGCAAGUCAAGGGUGAAAUCCCCGCGCUCAACGUGGGAACUGCCUUUGAAACUGGCAAACUGGAGUGUGUGAGAGGAUAGUGGAAUUCCAGGUGUAGGAGUGAAAUCCGUAGAUAUCUGGAGGAACAUCAGUGGCGAAGGCGACUAUCUGGCACAUAACUGACGCUGAGGAGCGAAAGCGUGGGUAGCAAACAGGAUUAGAUACCCCAGUAGUC
This 440-nucleotide ribosomal RNA is filed under the name uncultured bacterium. RNAcentral's name for it is "partial 16S ribosomal RNA". It matches the Rfam family "Bacterial small subunit ribosomal RNA", at positions 338 to 795 of the family's 1533-position model. The record is from RNAcentral.